Molecule: unclassified non-coding RNA, 253 nt
Filed under: uncultured delta proteobacterium
Lineage: Bacteria; Deltaproteobacteria
Description: contains 16S-23S intergenic spacer region
Rfam family: Bacterial small subunit ribosomal RNA
Source: RNAcentral
UACGGAGAGUGCAAGCGUUGUUCGGAAUUACUGGGCGUAAAGGGCGUCUAGGCGGCUGACCAAGUCAGAUGUGAAAUCCCUCGGCUCAACCGAGGACGUGCAUCUGAAACUGGUUAGCUUGAGUACUGGAGGGGGCAGCGGAAUUCCCGGUGUAGAGGUGAAAUUCGUAGAUAUCGGGAGGAACACCAGUGGCGAAGGCGGCUGCCUGGCCAGAUACUGACGCUAAAGCGCGAAAGCGUGGGGAGCAAACAGG